UGGGGGAUAUUGCACAAUGGGGGAAACCCUGAUGCAGCAACGCCGCGUGAAGGAAGAAGGUCUUCGGAUUGUAAACUUCUGUCCUCAGGGAAGAUAAUGACGGUACCUGAGGAGGAAGCUCCGGCUAACUACGUGCCAGCAGCCGCGGUAAUACGUAGGGAGCGAGCGUUGUCCGGAUUUACUGGGUGUAAAGGGUGCGUAGGCGGAUAGGCAAGUCAGUGGUGAAAUCUAUGGGCUUAACCCAUAAACUGCCAUUGAAACUGUUUAUCUUGAGUGGAGUAGAGGCAGGCGGAAUUCCCGGUGUAGCGGUGAAAUGCGUAGAGAUCGGGAGGAACACCAGUGGCGAAGGCGGCCUGCUGGGCUUUAACUGACGCUGAGGCACGAAAGUGUGGGUAGCAAACAGGAUUAGAUACCC
RNAcentral lists this ribosomal RNA (415 nucleotides) under uncultured bacterium. Its description in RNAcentral is "bacterial SSU rRNA". It matches the Rfam family "Bacterial small subunit ribosomal RNA", at positions 355 to 787 of the family's 1533-position model. The record is from RNAcentral.